RNAcentral lists this long non-coding RNA (444 nucleotides) under Phoenix dactylifera (date palm). RNAcentral describes it as "long non-coding RNA (PDAC_LNC012629)". Lineage: Eukaryota; Viridiplantae; Streptophyta; Magnoliopsida; Arecales; Arecaceae. The record is from RNAcentral.
GGGCCUGGUUGUCCUUCUAUUGGCUUUGGAGAGGCAGAGGAACUUGGACCUUGCUUAAUGCAAAAAGGUGCACCAAGACUUUAAUAGGGGACUUGCAAAAAGGUAUGCAAAAAGGAACUUGGACCUUGCUUAAUGAACAGGGGAGAUGCAAUUUGCAGCAACAAAAUAUUAUACUAAUGCUUGAUUAUGUCUUCUGCAGGCAGAGAAAAUAGAGCUUGACUAUAUGAAUGUUGAAGCACUACAAAAAAUGAACAAAAACAAGAAGCUUGUCAAAAAGCUUGCUAAAAAGUACCAUGCUUUCCUAGCAUCAAAGGCGAUUAUGUAUAUUGAUAUUUGUUCUAUGUCAAGCAGAUAGUAUUUUGCGGCUAUUCCAUAUGUAAAUUUGGAUGAUUUGACUUGUAUUCCUUGUUUUUGUAAAGAUUAAAUGCUUUUUGAAUCUUGCUG